This 267-nucleotide long non-coding RNA is filed under the name Ananas comosus (pineapple). Its description in RNAcentral is "long non-coding RNA (ACOM_LNC020785)". The record is from RNAcentral. Lineage: Eukaryota; Viridiplantae; Streptophyta; Magnoliopsida; Poales; Bromeliaceae.
AAUUAAUGAUUUUUAUUUUUUCUUACGGCGAGAUAUAAUUGGAAUGAAAAACUAAAAUUUAGAAAUUGAUACGGUGUUUCUAGCACAAGUGGCAAAGAUUUUGAUGGUUGGUAAUAUUUCAAGUUCAGAUUUUAUUUAAAUCAUAUUUCUAAUUAAAUUUAUUUUUUAAAAAGAUAAAUGCGAAGUAGGUAGCAUGUUAUCUUUCUCUAAAAAAAAUAAAAUAAAAAAAGGCAAAAAAGUUUAGAAACCUGAUUACCAAAAAAAAAA